RNAcentral lists this ribosomal RNA (253 nucleotides) under uncultured bacterium. RNAcentral describes it as "partial 16S ribosomal RNA". It matches the Rfam family "Bacterial small subunit ribosomal RNA", at positions 524 to 776 of the family's 1533-position model. The record is from RNAcentral.
UACGUAGGGGCCGAGCGUUGUCCGGAGUUACUGGGCGUAAAGCGCGCGCAGGCGGCCAUCUAAGCCCGGCGUGAAAGCCCCCGGCUCAACCGGGGAGGGUCGUCGGGGACUGGGUGGCUUGAGGACGGCAGGGGCUGGUGGAAUCCCCGGUGUAGUGGUGAAAUGCGUAGAGAUCGGGGGGAACACCCGUGGCGAAGGCGGCCAGCUGGGCCGUUCCUGACGCUGAGGCGCGAAGGCGUGGGGAGCGAACGGG